Molecule: ribosomal RNA, 111 nt
Filed under: Camelus bactrianus (Bactrian camel)
Lineage: Eukaryota; Metazoa; Chordata; Mammalia; Artiodactyla; Camelidae
Also listed under: 2 other names
Source: RNAcentral
GUCUACGGCCACACCACUCUGAACGCGCCCGAUCUUGUCUGCUCUCGGAAGCUAAGCUGGGUCGGGCCUGGUUAGUACUUGGAUGGGAGACUUAGAUCAAGAAAUGUGACA